GCUACGGUUAGAUAAAUCAAUUUUGCAUAGGCAGUUGACAUGGGGAAAAAAAAUAGAUGUCUUGUUCCACCAUUUUUUGGGGUGUUUGUGUUGGUUUAGGAGACUUUCGUGACUUGCAGGAGAAUAAAAACAUCUAGAUUGAUAGGCCAUUCAAAGGAUACAAUUAAUCAAUCGUAAACUGAUAGAGAACGAAGGGAAAUCAGGGCCUGGUACCAACACCAGAUGAGUUUUUUUGCUUUUUAAUUCUCAAAUGGUAAUAGUUUAGGAGCGGUUGGAUGCAGU
Molecule: non-coding RNA, 282 nt
Organism: Pelobates cultripes (western spadefoot toad)
Lineage: Eukaryota; Metazoa; Chordata; Amphibia; Anura; Pelobatidae
Source: the annotation of a GenBank genome assembly